CCCAACCUGACUGCUGUGUUCUGCCCUGAGUCUGCAGAGGCUGACCCUGGCCAGGAAAGUGGUUGGAAAAGCAUUUUUGCAGAGAGGCAGCCUGAAGGUGGUGGCUCUAUGUAAGUGUGCACCCUUGGUUGGAAAGGCUGAAGGUCAGGAAUGGUAUUAGGAGAAAGUUCCCCCUUUCUCCUUUGUCCCUCCUUCCUGCCCCUGGACACAGGCUUGAGGAUCUGCAUCUGGCUGGCUCACCCUUCCUGCACAACUUUUCUAUUCAAGUUUUUCAGGGCAGGGCUUUAAGAAACACUUCAGGUUAAUUAUAGCCAGGGGUCAUUUUCUAUACAAGCGGGACAAACUUGAUGUGACUACAGGGCUGUCUCCAGGGCUGAUUCAUUCGACCUAGAAAACUGCCCCUAGGGAAACAGCCUCAGAAUCUUGCCUGCAGCUCUGGAAGUGGUAAUGGGCCCACCUGUCUCCCUGCCCAUCAUCUCACAUCUGGGGGAAUGUCUUGGCUAGCAGCAUGGCCCUGAGUGAGGGGUUUAGGUAAACAAGGUGUGACUGGGAUUGGAAGAGUCACAAACCUGUUUGUUAGAGCAAUGCUGAAGAGUUUCAGGAAAAGAAUUUCAUCAAGGCUGGCACAUCUGUCCUCAGACACUUGAAGGAUUCCCUGGAGGAAGGAGGACUGAACUUGCCCUACAAGAUCCUGCGGGGCAAAGAACUGUAAGCAGAGACAAAAUGAAAGCCCUCUAGGCCCACAAUUGAUUCUAACGGCUGUGAGGGAAUGAGCUUCAACUACUGUUGAUGGGAGGGACUGUGUGCCAGGCACUGUGCUAGGGACUCUCAUGCAUGAUCUCAUUCAUCUUCUGCAUAACCCAAUGAGGUAUGAUCUACUAUCAAGUGUCUACAUUUGUAUUGGAUUGGUAUGUGUGCCCAACAAAGAAAGUGUCAUUUUUCCUUGGGAAUGAAAUCACAUCAUUUGUGAAGACUUAGUAGAGGCUAAAUGAGUACAAGCAGCAUUUACCUUAUUAAACAGAUAUUUUCAACAUUUAAAACAGUCUGACCAUCAAUGAUGAUGUUCAAAAACAUCUCAAGAUGUUUUAGAGCUAAAGCAAAUGAGAAAAUAUAGUAAAGGGCUGAUUCCUGUGGAUAUUCUGCAAAGGAAAGUAACAUGGUGGAGUGGAAGUGGGAUAAGGUUUGAAGCCAAAAGACCUGGUGGGCUUAAGGUCUCCAUUUAUUGGUUGUGUGACCUUGGAUAAGCCACUUCACCUCCUGGUGAGACUUGGGCAAAAUGGAGAUCAUAUUAAUCACCUCACAGUUUGUUACGCAUUGAGUAAAUGCACAUGUAAGCAUUAUUGACUGUAAAUGAUUAUGCAUAUUUUAAUUAUGGUAUAUCCAAGCCUGAUUUUUCAUCCAGUGCUUACAGUGCCCUGGGCAUAAUACUCAUUCAAUAAACAUUUGUUUGAUGAUAGAGUAAUAAAUGAAUAUGUGAUGCAGAAGUUUUAAAAAUAUUUUUGCUGCUGUCUGACUCAUUUAUAGACAUUUAUAAAAUUGAGGAUUUGUAAGUUGUCCCUGGACAAUCAGAUCUCUUGAUUCAAAGGUGAAAGAUAAUCAUUCAGGUUUUCAAGUUUUUCCUGAUAUGAGACAUUAACUGGCAGGGCUGAUUAUGAGAAAUUGUCAUUAUCCUGCUCAAAUAUAAGAUCAUAGAUUUGGGAAACCUUAGAAAUAAUUACCUUCUUUUCAAAUAUGAGGAAACUGAAGCCCAGAGGCUCUAAGAAAUCAGGGACUUUAUAUAAUUUUUUCAUUUCUCUAGCUCUAGGGUAAUUGUAGAUAGAUAUACAACAAGUAUGUUUUUAAAAGUAUAUUUUUCAAGAAUUAUGCUAAGCACUGGGGAAAUAAACAUUAACAAGACAAAACCCUCCCCUUUGAGGAACUGAUAAUCUAGACAGACAUGAAAACCAGGAAGUGUGCUAUCAGUUAUAUUAAUGUUGUACAGAGUUCUAGUGGCAAGAGGGAACUGCCAAGGGAAAUCUGAGAGGAGGUGUUUACCCUGCGUAAACACCUUGCUGUUUAGCUUGGCAUCCCUAGAAGCAGACCCUGAGGACAGUGGGAAAAUGGAUUAUUAAGGAAGUGCUCCUGAGAGAAACCAGAAAGGGGGUGUAGGGAGCAAGGGAGGAUAAGGAGAAGACUCCAGUAAGGAUGAGAUUACUCAAGUCCCAUGGAAGACAGGUUAGCCUGAUCCUGCAGGGGAGCCCUGGAGGCACAUGCCUGAAAGGCAGUCUUGGAGCAGCUGCCUCAUGUUGGAGGAAAAACACUGAAGUGGGAUGAGAAGAUGUGAGUUCCGGUCCCAGAUCUGAUUUGUUUGGCACAUAAGUUUGGACUUAACAUCUCUGGAAAGCCAGAAAUCAGAGAUACAGAGAAGUAUUGAAAUGCUGAAAUGCUAUGAAUUUACUAUAAGAGAACAUUCUUCACUGAAGAGAUCUCUAGCUGCCAAAACACCCUUUCAUGCGUGAAAUACCGGGGCAAAGAGGAAGGAAAAGAGAAGAGUAUGACUCUAGGAACCAUGUUGCAGAAAUGCCAAAGGGUGGGACAAACAAAGUUACUAAUGUGGAGAAAGAAGAUUAUCAUGUGUGGAACGAAGGACAAUAUGAACAUUAAAUAAUGCCCUGACUCAUUCCAAAAAGAAUCUGAGAUGACCAAUAAAGCCAUUUUUAAUUGUUUAUUAGUGAACAAUAGAUUAUGAGUGCUAAAGGGAUUCAGGAAGAAGAAAGAUCAGUGCAGAGUAGAGAAGUCUGAUGGAUGCAUUGAAGAAGCUAUGCUUGAGCUGAAAUGACAAGAGAGCUGUUUUUCGCUUUCAGAAUUAUUAUGUGGCAAUGGUAAUUGACAACAGAGAAGCUGAAGGUAUGAGGACAAGGGUGUCUUAUCUUUCCCCAGAAGUCUUGCUUGGCCCAUGGGAGAAUACAGGCCUGCACCUUGGACUUGGAGUCAGUAGAUUCCUUCCUGUGAUUUUUUACAAGCUCAAACAUCCCCUGACUGAGUCAUUCACCAGAGAAAGAGGCUUUUCAAAUGAUUUGUGCAUUAGCUAUAGUCUGCCUUAUUCAACCCCAUUUUAGUGUCACAAAAGCUUCUUCUUCCUACAUUGUUAGAGCCUUUUUGACUUUUCUGAAACGACAUCUGCUCACCUCUUGGGUAACACCCUGCAGGGCUCAGUCGAGCUCAGUCACCCUUCACUUUUUUUUUUUUUUUUUUGAGCCAGUUUUGUAAGGUGCUGAGGGAGGUUUGUAUUAGUCCUUGUUGCCCCUAGAAGAAAUAACAGCUAUAAUUUUGGCCCCGAAGAAAAGGAACAGAUAGAAGAAGAAGGCAGAGGAGUCAGUGUUGGAGUGAUGCCAUGUGAGAAAGACUCAACUGGCCAUUGCUGGCUUUGAAAAUGGAAGGAGGCAUAAGCCAAGGAAUGAAUGCAGGUGCCUCUAGAACCUGGAAAAAGCAAGGAAACAAAUUCUCCUCUAGAACCUCCAGAAGGAAUGCAUUCCUGCCAACACCUUGAUUUUUAGCUCGGUGAGACCCAUGCUGGACUUCUGACCUGCAGGAUUGCAAGAUAAGAUAUUUGACUUAUUUUAAGAUGCUAAGUUUGCAGUAAUUUGAUAUGGUAGCCAUCGGAAACUAAUACCGAUGCCAAAGCAGUAAAGCAGGAAAGCACUCCAAAAUCACAGGAGUGAGAGGAGCAGAAAUGUCCUAGGAGAAGACAAUGUUUCCUUUUGAAAAGGAAAGUUUACUGGCAACUUCCAUUUGAAUUUCUUAAUUUCUUUCCUCAGUGGCAGUCACUACUUCCAAGGUGGCAGGUUCCAGAGCUGAUUCAUUAUAUAAUCUUUUCUCAGGAGUAUUCUAGCCACCUUUAAAGAAGCUAGGGCCAUUUUCCUGACACUGCAUCAAGGGGUAAGGUUAGUGGUAAAGAAACCAUGCGGUAGGAAAGGCCAACUUUCUCCCUACAUAAUCCAAUCGCAUUAUCUCCAGACUUGCUCACCCUCUGCUCUUUGCAUACUGCAGCUCCAGAGCUUUCAUACCUACAGACUUCCUGGAGUUAAGACUAAAACAAGAGUUGUGCUACAGACUACCGUUCCUAUUAUCAUUUUUUGUGUCCUGCUGAGUCCUCCCCUCUUGGCAACUUCAGGACCACCCACUGGGAAGAUAAUAUACAACCCAUCAGGAAACUCCCAGUGCCCAUCGUGGAGGCCAAGUGCUGCCAACUCUGAUUGCUUCUGGAAUGCCAUUUCUUCCCUGCCCUUUCAAUAUUCUUGUUAUGCGACUCCUAUGAUCACUGCCAAUCUGUAGAAAAUUACAGGAUGAAUUUUUGUGAAGGACUGAAUUUGCAUACUGGUCUUUUGUUGUUUAUUGUUGGGGGGAUUUUGCUUUUUGCACACAAUUUCUGCACAUUUUAUUGGAAGUUAUUGGGUUAGAUUCAUCCCAUUCAUUCACUAGCCUGGCAUUGCUAUGCAUGUGCUGUAGGGGCUUAGCAUUAAACGAUUUUCUUUGUUCAGAUUUGGAUUGCUGUCUCUGCUUGCAAAUUAUUUUUCACAAUGACUCCUUCUUUUCCUUCUCUCUCUCUCUCUUUCUCUCUCUCUCUCUCUCACACACACACACAGACACACACACACACACACACACACACACACACACACACACACAGAUGAGGUUAGAUAUUUUUCCAUUGCCAAGUUCAGGACCCAUGAAUAC
Molecule: long non-coding RNA, 4716 nt
Filed under: Homo sapiens (human)
Lineage: Eukaryota; Metazoa; Chordata; Mammalia; Primates; Hominidae
Description: HSALNT0219923
Source: RNAcentral